GACGAACGCUGGCGGCGUGCUUAACACAUGCCAGUCGAACGGAAAGGCCCUGCUUUUGUGGGGUGCUCGAGUGGCGAACGGGUGAGUAACACGUGAGUAACCUGCCCUUGACUUUGGGAUAACUUCAGGAAACUGGGGCUAAUACCGGAUAGGAGCUCCUGCUGCAUGGUGGGGGUUGGAAAGUUUCGGCGGUUGGGGAUGGACUCGCGGCUUAUCAGCUUGUUGGUGGGGCAGUGGCUUACCAAGGCUUUGACGGGUAGCCGGCCUGAGAGGGUGACCGGCCACAUUGGGACUGAGAUACGGCCCAGACUCCUACGGGAGGCAGCAGUGGGGAAUAUUGCACAAUGGGCGGAAGCCUGAUGCAGCAACGCCGCGUGCGGGAUGACGGCCUUCGGGUUGUAAACCGCUUUCGCCUGUGACGAAGCGUGAGUGACGGUAAUGGGUAAAGAAGCACCGGCUAACUACGUG
Molecule: ribosomal RNA, 468 nt
Filed under: uncultured bacterium
Lineage: Bacteria
Description: partial 16S ribosomal RNA
Rfam family: Bacterial small subunit ribosomal RNA
Source: RNAcentral